UGAGGAAUAUUGCUCAAUGGCCGCAAGGCUGAAGCAGCAACGCCGCGUGAGGGAUGAAGGAUCUAUGGUCUGUAAACCUCUGUAGAGAAGGAAAAAUAACCCAUUAUAUGGGCUUGAUAGUACUUCUAGAGUAAGCCCCGGCUAACUUCGUGCCAGCAGCCACGGUAAUACGGAGGGAGCGAGCGUUGUUCGGAUUUAUUGGGCGUAAAGGGCAUGUAGGCGGCUUUGCAAGUCGGGUGUGAAAGCCCAUCUCUUAAAGAUGGAACGGCAUUCGAAACUGCAAGGCUUGAGUUCAGGGGAAGAAAGCGGAAUUCUCGGUGUAGCAGUGAAAUGCGUAGAUAUCUGGAGGAAUACCAGUGGCGAAGGCGGCCUGCUGGGCUCUAACUGACGCUGAGGCUCGAAAGCAUGGGUAGCAAACA
RNAcentral lists this ribosomal RNA (419 nucleotides) under uncultured prokaryote. RNAcentral describes it as "bacterial SSU rRNA". It matches the Rfam family "Bacterial small subunit ribosomal RNA", at positions 355 to 774 of the family's 1533-position model. The record is from RNAcentral.